UUGAGAGUUUGAUCCUGGCUCAGAACGAACGCUGGCGGCAUGCCUAACACAUGCAAGUCGAGCGAGAUCUUCGGAUCUAGCGGCGGACGGGUGAGUAACGCGUGGGAAUAUGCCCUUCUCUACGGAAUAGCCUCGGGAAACUGAGAGUAAUACCGUAUACGCCCUUCGGGGGAAAGAUUUAUCGGAGAAGGAUUAGCCCGCGUUGGAUUAGGUAGUUGGUGGGGUAAUGGCCUACCAAGCCGACGAUCCAUAGCUGGUUUGAGAGGAUGAUCAGCCACACUGGGACUGAGACACG
This 295-nucleotide ribosomal RNA is filed under the name Pteridomonas danica. Its description in RNAcentral is "partial Bacterial small subunit ribosomal RNA". It matches the Rfam family "Bacterial small subunit ribosomal RNA", at positions 1 to 328 of the family's 1533-position model. Lineage: Eukaryota; Dictyochophyceae; Pedinellales. The record is from RNAcentral.